This 345-nucleotide ribosomal RNA is filed under the name uncultured bacterium. RNAcentral's name for it is "bacterial SSU rRNA". It matches the Rfam family "Bacterial small subunit ribosomal RNA", at positions 8 to 350 of the family's 1533-position model. The record is from RNAcentral.
AGAGUUUGAUCCUGGCUCAGGACGAACGCUGGCGGCGCGCCUAACACAUGCAAGUCGAACGAGCGAGAGAGAGCUUGCUUUCUCGAGCGAGUGGCGAACAGGUGAGUAACGCGUGAGGAACCUGCCUCAAAGAGGGGGACAACAGUUGGAAACGACUGCUAAUACCGCAUAAGCCCACGGGUCGGCAUCGACCAGAGGGAAAGGAGCGAUCCGCUUUGAGAUGGCCUCGCGUCCGAUUAGCUAGUUGGUGAGGUAACGGCCACCAAGGCGACGAUCGGUAGCCGGACUGAGAGGUUGAACGGCCACAUUGGGACUGAGACACGGCCCAGACUCAUACGGGAGGCA